UUGUCUCUCUACAUAGCCCUGGCUGUCCUGUAACUCACUGUUACGCACUGGGCCUACUGGGACUGGAAUUAUAGGCCAAGUCUGUAACUCUCAGAGAUCCACCUGCCUUGGCCUCCUAAAUACUGGGAUUAUAGGCACCGGACACCACACCCCCUUUAGUCAACAAACCUUUCCUCUGGUUUCUAACAAGUCUGCUCCUGCCUCCAAGUUCCUGCCCUGUUUGAGUUCCUGCCUUGACUUCCUUCAGUGAUGGACAGUGAUGUAAAAGCACAAGCCAACAACUCUUUCAUCUCCAAAAUGCUUUUGGUCAUGGUGUUUCAUCACAGCAAGAGAAAUCCUAAUUAGGACAACUAGGAUUGAAGGCAUGCCUGAUUUCAGGUUCCCUCAUGUAUAUGUUUUAAAAUCAUUUAGCUGUGACCCUCCUGGCUGGCAACCCCCACUCUUCCCCUGGCGUUAUCUCCGGCCUAUUCAAGCUGUGACAUUCCUGGCCUACAGCCUCCACUUUUCCCCUGGCGUUAUCUCCGGCCCUUGUUCCGUUGGGAACAAUACAGCCACUUUCACCUUAACUACCAGGGCCUCCUCAGCGCAGUUUCACCUGGAGACCAGCAGAAAACUGCGUGACUAGAAGCAGGCAACCCGCUGAGAAGAAGAU
Molecule: long non-coding RNA, 652 nt
Organism: Apodemus sylvaticus (European woodmouse)
Lineage: Eukaryota; Metazoa; Chordata; Mammalia; Rodentia; Muridae
Exons: 3
Source: RefSeq, a predicted model, not a curated record